This 262-nucleotide ribosomal RNA is filed under the name uncultured bacterium. RNAcentral's name for it is "partial 16S ribosomal RNA". It matches the Rfam family "Bacterial small subunit ribosomal RNA", at positions 92 to 354 of the family's 1533-position model. The record is from RNAcentral.
UUAGUGGCGGACGGGUGAGUAACGCGUGGGUAACCUGCCUUACACAGGGGGAUAACACUUAGAAAUAGGUGCUAAAACCGCAUAAGCGCACAGCUUCGCAUGAAGCGGUGUGAAAAACUCCGGUGGUGUAAGAUGGACCCGCGUCUGAUUAGCUUGUUGGCGGGGUAACGGCCCACCAAGGCGACGAUCAGUAGCCGGCCUGAGAGGGCGGACGGCCACAUUGGGACUGAGACACGGCCCAGACUCCUACGGAAGGCAGCAG